GUCUACACCCAUACCACCCUGAACAUGCCCGAUCUCCUCUGAUCUCGGAAGCUAAGCAGGGUCGGGCCUGGUUAGUACUUGGAUGGAAGACAAAUAGCACACAGACCCCAAGUGAGGCCCUGGAAAUACU
RNAcentral lists this ribosomal RNA (130 nucleotides) under Heterocephalus glaber (naked mole-rat). The record is from RNAcentral. Lineage: Eukaryota; Metazoa; Chordata; Mammalia; Rodentia; Bathyergidae.